GACCAGUAGAACUUAUGGGAUGCCAUGGCCUUGCGUCGGCGGUGGUUCGUUCAGUUUCUGCCCUAUCCGUUUCCGUGGCAAGGUAUUGGCUUACGAUGGUUUCAACGGGUAACGGGGAAUUAGGGUUCGAUUCCGGAGAGGGAGCCUGAGAAACGGCUACCACAUCCAAGGAAGGCAGCAGGCGCGCAAAUUACCCAAUCCCGACACGGGGAGGUAGUGACAAUAAAUACUGAUACAGGGCUCUUUUGGGUCUUGUAAUUGGAAUGAGUACAAUUUAAACCUCUUAACGAGGAACAAUUGGAGGGCAAGUCUGGUGCCAGCAGCCGCGGUAAUUCCAGCUCCAAUAGCGUAUAUUAAAGUUGUUGCAGUUAAAAAGCUCGUAGUUGAAACUUGGGCCUGGCUGGCAGGUCCGCCUCACCGCGUGUACUUGUCCGGCCGGGCCUUUCCUUCUGGAGAACCUCAUGCCCUUCACUGGGUGUGUUGGGGAACCAGGACUUUUAC
Molecule: ribosomal RNA, 501 nt
Filed under: uncultured fungus
Lineage: Eukaryota; Fungi
Description: SSU rRNA
Rfam family: Eukaryotic small subunit ribosomal RNA
Source: RNAcentral